GAUGAACGCUAGCGGCAGGCCUAACACAUGCAAGUCGAGGGGUAACUAGAGUGAUAGCAAUAUUACUUUGGCUAGACCGGCGCACGGGUGCGUAACACGUAUGCAACCUACCUUAUACUGGGGAAUAACUUCGAGAAAUCGGCGCUAAUACCCCAUAACAUUGCGAAGAGGCAUCUCUUUGCAAUUAAAGCUCCGGCGGUAUAAGAUGGGCAUGCGUCCAAUUAGCUAGUUGGUGAGGUAACGGCUCACCAAGGCUACGAUUGGUAGGGGUUCUGAGGGGAUGUUCCCCCACACUGGUACUGAGACACGGACCAGACUCCUACGGGAGGCAGCAGUGAGGAAUAUUGCGCAAUGGACGAAAGUCUGACGCAGCCAUGCCGCGUGCAGGAUGACGGCCCUAUGGGUUGUAAACUGCUUUUGUACGGGAAUAAACCCUUCUACGUGUAGGAGGCUGAAGGUACCGUAAGAAUAAGCACCGGCUAACUCCGUGCCAGCAGCCGCCGUAA
Molecule: ribosomal RNA, 506 nt
Filed under: uncultured bacterium
Lineage: Bacteria
Description: partial 16S ribosomal RNA
Rfam family: Bacterial small subunit ribosomal RNA
Source: RNAcentral